Molecule: long non-coding RNA, 1248 nt
Organism: Suricata suricatta (meerkat)
Lineage: Eukaryota; Metazoa; Chordata; Mammalia; Carnivora; Herpestidae
Source: Ensembl
UUCUCCCCAAGGCCUGUCCCACAAAUCCAGGCCCCAGACCAAGCAUGCGUGAACUCACACUGCAUAGACUCUGGACUUCUCAUACCCUGGGCUGAGAGCGAAGCAAUCCAGUUUAUUUAUGCAUAGUUGUCUUUAAGAGAAGAGCCACCCUUGAAUCUUCUUCGGUCAGGAAUCAAAGAGCAAAUGGAAAGAAGCCUGUAGGAAUUCAGUUACUGUGCAACUGCUUUUUGUGAGCUGAUGAUGCUGAAGCUCUCCGGAUAUAGCCCAGCCCCCUCCUGACUCAGAGUAUCCUUCCUUUAAUGCCCUGCUGUCAGAAAAAGUUGCUGAAUCCCGUGUGACAACAGAAGCCUUUAUUGUCUUGGGAGUUCCAGUCUACCUCCAUCACCUGUCCCCUUACUUGCUGGUCAGUGAGGAAGACAUGGAAGAGAAAAUCAACUGCCUCCCACAACGAAGCUGGAAAGGCCCCUUUUCUGGCUUCCUUUACACAUAGGGCCAGACUCUACCGAGCAGAUCACAAGCCCUGGAUUUUCCUUUAGAAACUGGAGGCACGAAGUGAAACUCAGGCCCCAUUCAGGCAGCAAUGGUGGUGAGAGUUAUGGCUGCCAUGCCCAGUGUUUAAGAUUGAUGAUGGAAAGAAAAAAAGACAUUGGCCACAAGUUAGAGACCUGAAGUUUGCAGGAGGAGCAGGAAGGCCCAACAACCAUCCCAUAACGAAGACAUUGUAAAAAGCAACAAGGGUUGUCAAGUCACGACAAUGCAUGGAGGAACCCUAAAAUCACUAAGUGAAAAGAGCCAUAUAAAAAGGAGUCAUUCUGUAUGAUUUCAACUAUCUAUACUCUGGAAGAGGGAAUAUGGUGGAGACAGUAAAAAUGAUCCGUGGUUGCCAGGAGUUGAGGGGUGAGAGGGAUGAACAGGUAGAGCAAAGAGGAAUUUUAAGACAGUGAAACCACUCUGUAUGAUAAUGGAAUGAUGGAUACAAGUCGUUAUACAUUUGUCAAAAUCUAUAGAGUGGAUAACACCAAGAAUUCAUCCUAAUGUAAAUUAUGGACUGUGGAUGAUAAUGAUGCAUCAAUGUAGCUUUAUUGUCAUAACAAAUGCACCGUUCUAGUGGGGGAUGUUGAUACUAAGGCCAGGGGGAAUGUAGGAAAUCUUUAUACCUCUGCUUGAUUUUGCUGUGAACCCAAACUGACUCUAAAAAAUAAAGUCUUUAGGGGCAUCUGGGUUGCUCAGUUGGUUAAGUGUCCAACU